RNAcentral lists this ribosomal RNA (468 nucleotides) under uncultured bacterium. RNAcentral's name for it is "partial 16S ribosomal RNA". It matches the Rfam family "Bacterial small subunit ribosomal RNA", at positions 28 to 507 of the family's 1533-position model. The record is from RNAcentral.
GACGAACGCUGGCGGCGUGCUUAACACAUGCAAGUCGAACAGAAAGGCCCUGCUUUUGUGGGGUGCUCGAGUGGCGAACGGGUGAGUAACACGUGAGUAACCUGCCCUUGACUUUGGGAUAACUUCAGGAAACUGGGGCUAAUACCGGAUAGGAGCUCCUGCUGCAUGGUGGGGGUUGGAAAGUUUCGGCGGUUAGGGAUGGACUCGCGGCUUAUCAGCUUGUUGGUGGGGUAGUGGCUUACCAAGGCUUUGACGGGUAGCCGGCCUGAGAGGGUGACCGGCCACAUUGGGACUGAGAUACGGCCCAGACUCCUACGGGAGGCAGCAGUGGGGAAUAUUGCACAAUGGGCGGAAGCCUGAUGCAGCAACGCCGCGUGCGGGAUGACGGCCUUCGGGUUGUAAACCGCUUUCGCCUGUGACGAAGCGUGAGUGACGGUAAUGGGUAAAGAAGCACCGGCUAACUACGUG